UAAGCGGAGGAAAAGAAACUAACAGGGAUUCCCCUAGUAACUGCGAGUGAAGCGGGAAAAGCUCAAAUUUAAAAUCUGGUGGCCUUUGGUCAUCCGAGUUGUAAUUUAGAGAAGCGUCUUCCGCGCUGGACCAUGCACAAGUCUCCUGGAAUGGAGCGUCAUAGAGGGUGAGAAUCCCGUCUUUGGCAUGGAUGCACCAGGGCUUCUGUGAUGCGCUCUCGAAGAGUCGAGUUGUUUGGGAAUGCAGCUCAAAAUGGGUGGUGAACUCCAUCUAAAGCUAAAUAUUGGCGAGAGACCGAUAGCGAACAAGUACCGUGAGGGAAAGAUGAAAAGCACUUUGGAAAGAGAGUGAAACAGUACGUGAAAUUGUUGAAAGGGAAACGCUUGAAGUCAGUCGCGUCGACCGAGACUCAGCCUCGCCUUGGCAUGGUGUACGUCUCGGGCGACGGGUCAGCAUCAAUUUUGCCCCUCGGAUAAUGACAAGGGAAAGGUAGCACCUUUAUGGGUGUGUUAUAGUCUCCUGUCGCAUGCGAGGGUUGGGAUUGAGGAACUCAGCACGCGCCUUUUGGCGUCGGGGCUUCGGCCUACGUACGUGCUUAGGAUGCUGGCAUAAUGGCUUUAAACGACC
Molecule: ribosomal RNA, 628 nt
Filed under: uncultured Russulaceae
Lineage: Eukaryota; Fungi; Basidiomycota; Agaricomycetes; Russulales; Russulaceae
Description: LSU rRNA
Rfam family: Eukaryotic large subunit ribosomal RNA
Source: RNAcentral